Molecule: ribosomal RNA, 461 nt
Filed under: uncultured bacterium
Lineage: Bacteria
Description: partial 16S ribosomal RNA
Rfam family: Bacterial small subunit ribosomal RNA
Source: RNAcentral
CCUACGGGAGGCAGCAGUGAGGAAUAUUGGUCAAUGGGCGCGAGCCUGAACCAGCCAAGUAGCGUGAAGGAUGACUGCCCUACGGGUUGUAAACUUCUUUUAUAAAGGAAUAAAGUGAGGCACGUGUGCCUUUUUGUAUGGAUUUUAUGAAUAAGGAUCGGCUAACUCCGUGCCAGCCGCCGCGGUAAUACGGAGGAUCCGAGCGUUAUCCGGGUUUAUUGGGUGUAAAGGGAGAGUAGAUGGGUUGUUAAGUCAGUUGUGAAAGUUUGCGGCGCAACCGUAAAAUUGCAAUUGAUACUGGGAGCCGUGAGUACAGUGGAGGGAGGCGGAAUUCGUGGUGUAGCGGUGAAAUGCUUAGAUAACAAGAAGAACUCCGAUUGCGAAGGCAGCCUACUAAACUGCCACUGACAUUGAUGCUCGAAAGGGUGGGUAUCAAACAGGAUUAGAUACCCCGAGUAGUC